Molecule: ribosomal RNA, 965 nt
Filed under: uncultured prokaryote
Description: bacterial SSU rRNA
Rfam family: Bacterial small subunit ribosomal RNA
Source: RNAcentral
UAUGCUUAACACAUGCAAGUCGAACGGCAGCAUAGAGAGCUUGCUCUCUGGUGGCGAGUGGCGAACGGGUGAGUAACAUGUCGGAACGUGCCUAAUAAUGGGGAACAACUAAUCGAAAGAUUAGCUAAUACCGCAUACGACCUACGGGUGAAAGCAGGGGAUCUUCGGACCUUGCGUUAUUAGAGCGGCCGAUAUCUGAUUAGCUUGUUGGUAGGGUAAAAGCCUACCAAGGCGACGAUCAGUAGCUGGUCUGAGAGGACGAUCAGCCACACUGGAACUGAGACACGGUCCAGACUCCUACGGGAGGCAGCAGUGGGGAAUUUUGGACAAUGGGGGCAACCCUGAUCCAGCCAUUCCGCGUGAGUGAAGAAGGCCUUCGGGUCGUAAAGCUCUUUCGCAAGAGAAGAAAGCUUGCUAUCUAAUAAAUAGUAAGUAUGACGGUAUCUUGACAAGAAGCACCGGCUAACUAUGUGCCAGCAGCCGCGGUAAUACAUAGGGUGCAAGCGUUAAUCGGAAUUACUGGGCGUAAAGCGUUCGCAGGCGGUUUUAUAAGUCAGAUGUGAAAUCCCCGAGCUCAACUUGGGAACUGCGUUUGAAACUGUAAGACUAGAGUGUGUCAGAGGGGGGUAGAAUUCCAUGUGUAGCAGUGAAAUGCGUAGAUAUGUGGAGGAAUACCAAUGGCGAAGGCAGCCCCCUGGGAUAACACUGACGCUCAUGAACGAAAGCGUGAGGAGCAAACAGGAUUAGAUACCCUGGUAGUCCACGCCCUAAACGAUGUCUACUAGUUGUUGGUGGAGUAAAAUCCAUGAGUAACGCAGCUAACGCGUGAAGUAGACCGCCUGGGGAGUACGGUCGCAAGAUUAAAACUCAAAGGAAUUGACGGGGGCCCGCACAAGCGGUGGAUUAUGUGGAUUAAUUCGAUGCAACGCGAAAAACCUUACCUGGCCUUGACAUGCAGAGAAUCA